This is a long non-coding RNA of Sinocyclocheilus rhinocerous, 984 nucleotides long. RefSeq lists it as uncharacterized. The transcript has 3 exons. The record is from RefSeq and is a predicted model, not a curated record. Lineage: Eukaryota; Metazoa; Chordata; Actinopteri; Cypriniformes; Cyprinidae.
CAGCACAUGGAGAGAAGAAGACGGGCUGUCAUCUCCAGCGAAGCGUCCUCCGAAGCGCAUCAGCAAAGCCACGUUUUCACUAAACUGUGAGGAGAAGCGCUGACAUCAUCUGUUGGUGGUGUCAUAAAUCCUGACCUGUGCUGCCUACCUAAGCCCUACCUAUUGAAACAAUGCAUUGAACCCUUUCGUCCUGGUUGCCCUGGUUACGGCCACUUAUCAAGGAGAGGUCUUAAAGAUCAAACAGGCGUGGUAUCCAGUUGCCGCGAUCCUCCUGUUGCUAUGGACCUUUGUUCGGCACCGAGCACAGAUGCACGCCAGUGCCGCGGAGCAUGGCGAGUGUACACAAAAACACAACAGAGGGACAAAAAGCAUUUCGCCUCAGCGCUGCGGUGCCAUAAACUGCCCAGCGACCUAUCUGUGGAAUGGGGGUGGGGGUGGAAAGGAAGGGGGUUGCAGAGUAAAGUCAGACUGAAAUUCGACAUCAGAGGUGGGCCCAGCGAGGGGCCCUGACUGACGGCGAAAGCUCGAGUUCACAUAGACGUAUCUACUGCUCUCCCACUGAUCGCUAGCGCUCCUCGCCGUCCACCCCAGGAAACACCCCGCUAGCAGGAGUCGCCGCACUUCCCCCACACAAUAGCACACGGUCACGUGGCGCAUACUGUCAUGUUGCCGUUUUUAACACUCGUUCUAAACCGUCACUCAAUUCGUGACAGCGGUCUUCACCACCCUCUCCAUCCCUUCAGGUUUUAGCACUAGAAUCUCUUUUUCGCCAUCCAAGUGUUUUGAUAGCGACAGGUGGCGUGACGCGUCCAGGAAACGGUGCUUAAAUCUAGUUGAAUGCAGCCGAAAUGUGUUAAAUAAAAUUUCUACCUAUUGAUUAACAAGAGACGUGCCUGUUCGGAAACGCACAGCGUAUUAAAUUGACGCCGAUGACUAUAAGAGACAAUCAGAUUCGAUUUGAGCACAACGGCCAUGAGGUCAACU